CAUCGGUCCCCCCGCAACGAUUACCCGUAAACCUGGUCAGGCCCGGAAGGGAGCAGCCAUAGCGGGAACAUUGUGUGCCGGGGUGUGGCUGGUGGGG
This is a non-coding RNA of Pseudomonas putida, 97 nucleotides long. Lineage: Bacteria; Pseudomonadati; Pseudomonadota; Gammaproteobacteria; Pseudomonadales; Pseudomonadaceae. The record is from Rfam.